AUGUUGCGUGAACGGUUGAAGUGGUAUCCUUUUGCUUUUUUUGCAAAAGAUUUAACGAAAGACGCGACGGUAA
RNAcentral lists this unclassified non-coding RNA (73 nucleotides) under Lutibacter oricola. Its description in RNAcentral is "Flavo-1 RNA". Lineage: Bacteria; Pseudomonadati; Bacteroidota; Flavobacteriia; Flavobacteriales; Flavobacteriaceae. The record is from RNAcentral.